UACGUAGGGUGCAAGCGUUAUCCGGAAUUAUUGGGCGUAAAGAGCUCGUAGGCGGUUUGUCGCGUCUGCUGUGAAAACUGGGGGCUCAACCCCCAGCCUGCAGUGGGUACGGGCAUACUAGAGUGCGGUAGGGGAGAUUGGAAUUCCUGGUGUAGCGGUGAAAUGCGCAGAUAUCAGGAGGAACACCGGUGGCGAAGGCGGAUCUCUGGGCCGUAACUGACGCUGAGGAGCGAAAGCAUGGGUAGCGAACAGG
This 253-nucleotide ribosomal RNA is filed under the name uncultured bacterium. Its description in RNAcentral is "partial 16S ribosomal RNA". It matches the Rfam family "Bacterial small subunit ribosomal RNA", at positions 524 to 776 of the family's 1533-position model. The record is from RNAcentral.